Molecule: ribosomal RNA, 411 nt
Filed under: Pseudomonas aeruginosa
Lineage: Bacteria; Pseudomonadati; Pseudomonadota; Gammaproteobacteria; Pseudomonadales; Pseudomonadaceae
Description: bacterial SSU rRNA
Rfam family: Bacterial small subunit ribosomal RNA
Source: RNAcentral
AAUCAGCGGCGGACGGGUGAGUAAUGCCUAGGAAUCUGCCUGGUAGUGGGGGAUAACGUCCGGAAACGGGCGCUAAUACCGCAUACGUCCUGAGGGAGAAAGUGGGGGAUCUUCGGACCUCACGCUAUCAGAUGAGCCUAGUCGGAUUAGCUAGUUGGUGGGGUAAAGGCCUACCAAGGCGACGAUCCGUAACUGGUCUGAGAGGAUGAUCAGUCACACUGGAACUGAGACACGGUCCAGACUCCUACGGGAGGCAGCAGUGGGGAAUAUUGGACAAUGGGCGAAAGCCUGAUCCAGCCAUGCCGCGUGUGUGAAGAAGGUCUUCGGAUUGUAAAGCACUUUAAGUUGGGAGGAAGGGCAGUAAGUUAAUACCUUGCUGUUUUGACGUUACCAACAGAAUAAGCACCGGCU